UAUAAUCAGGUCACUGUCUGCAGAAACAUGAGGUCUGUGGUUGUGGGUUUGUUUCUGUGCACUGUCCUUUCUCUGGUCAAUGCUGGAUGUGUCCACAAGUAACACAAAACACCAGUUCAGUUUUGCCAGGACUCAACAGAUAAGACUUGGCAUCCGGUUGGAUCCACUUGGAGAAACAGUAAAUGUAUGGACUGUACUUGUUCUGCUAAUUCCAUGAGCUGCUGUGAUGCAAUGGGGAUGCCCACUCAAUAUUCAGACAAGUGCACAGUGGAGUACGAUUACACUACAUGCACAUAUGAAGUUUUUGAGAAAAUUCCAUGUCCUCAUGGUGGUGUUGGUAAAUGACGGCCAUGAAUUAAGGAAAGAAAUCAAUUGUCAGUUUUAUCUGCUGAUUUAAAGGGCAAUAACAGAAAUGUCCAAAUGAACAUGAAAUGUGCAUUACCAGGUUUUCAGAUUUGUUUAUGUUUUUGAAAGAAAUCUCUUCAAGAAAGCUCAUCAAGGGUAUAUAAAAUUGAUAAUAAAUGAGCACUAAAUCAGCAUAUUAGAAUGAUUUCUAAAGGAUCAUGUGACACUGAAGACUGGAGUAAUGAUGCUGAAAAUUCAGCUUUGAUCACAGGAAUAAAUUACAUUUUAAAAUAUACUCACAUAGAAUAUUUUAAAUUGUAAUAAUAUUUCACAAUUUUACUGUUUUCACUGUUUUGGCUGGUAAAGGCAUACAGAUACAGAAAUUUAAAUAAUAAAUUAUAUAAAUUAUGCAAAUUCUCAUUUAUAUUUUUAAAUGUAAAAAAUGUAAUAAAUGUGUAUAAAAUGUAAAAAAACAAAAUGCAUUUUGAAUUUAAAUUACUUGUACACCUGUGUUUAUAUAAAUAAAGCUGAAUCAAUACAG
Long non-coding RNA from Ctenopharyngodon idella (grass carp), 886 nucleotides. RefSeq lists it as uncharacterized. The transcript has 4 exons. The record is from RefSeq and is a predicted model, not a curated record. Lineage: Eukaryota; Metazoa; Chordata; Actinopteri; Cypriniformes; Xenocyprididae.